RNAcentral lists this ribosomal RNA (1237 nucleotides) under Mulberry witches'-broom phytoplasma. Its description in RNAcentral is "bacterial SSU rRNA". It matches the Rfam family "Bacterial small subunit ribosomal RNA", at positions 156 to 1393 of the family's 1533-position model. Lineage: Bacteria; Bacillati; Mycoplasmatota; Mollicutes; Acholeplasmatales; Acholeplasmataceae. The record is from RNAcentral.
ACGACUGCUAAGACUGGAUAGGAGACAAGAAGGCAUCUUCUUGUUUUUAAAAGACCUAGCAAUAGGUAUGCUUAGGGAGGAGCUUGCGUCACAUUAGUUAGUUGGUGGGGUAAAGGCCUACCAAGACUAUGAUGUGUAGCCGGGCUGAGAGGUUGAACGGCCACAUUGGGACUGAGACACGGCCCAAACUCCUACGGGAGGCAGCAGUAGGGAAUUUUCGGCAAUGGAGGAAACUCUGACCGAGCAACGCCGCGUGAACGAUGAAGUAUUUCGGUACGUAAAGUUCUUUUAUUAGAGAAGAAUAAAUGAUGGAAAAAUCAUUCUGACGGUACCUAAUGAAUAAGCCCCGGCUAACUAUGUGCCAGCAGCCGCGGUAAUACAUAGGGGGCAAGCGUUAUCCGGAAUUAUUGGGCGUAAAGGGUGCGUAGGCGGUUAAAUAAGUUUGUGGUCUAAGUGCAAUGCUCAACAUUGUGAUGCUAUAAAAACUGUUUAGCUAGAGUAAGAUAGAGGCAAGUGGAAUUCCAUGUGUAGUGGUAAAAUGCGUAAAUAUAUGGAGGAACACCAGUAGCGAAGGCGGCUUGCUGGGUCUUUACUGACGCUGAGGCACGAAAGCGUGGGGAGCAAACAGGAUUAGAUACCCUGGUAGUCCACGCCGUAAACGAUGAGUACUAAACGUUGGGUAAAACCAGUGUUGAAGUUAACACAUUAAGUACUCCGCCUGAGUAGUACGUACGCAAGUAUGAAACUUAAAGGAAUUGACGGGACUCCGCACAAGCGGUGGAUCAUGUUGUUUAAUUCGAAGGUACCCGGAAAACCUCACCAGGUCUUGACAUGCUUCUGCAAAGCUGUAGAAACACAGUGGAGGUUAUCAGUUGCACAGGUGGUGCAUGGUUGUCGUCAGCUCGUGUCGUGAGAUGUUGGGUUAAGUCCCGCAACGAGCGCAACCCUUAUUGUUAGUUACCAGCACGUAAUGGUGGGGACUUUAGCAAGACUGCCAGUGAUAAAUUGGAGGAAGGUGGGGACGACGUCAAAUCAUCAUGCCCCUUAUGACCUGGGCUACAAACGUGAUACAAUGGCUGUUACAAAGGGUAGCUGAAGCGCAAGUUUUUGGCGAAUCUCAAAAAAACAGUCUCAGUUCGGAUUGAAGUCUGCAACUCGACUUCAUGAAGUUGGAAUCGCUAGUAAUCGCGAAUCAGCAUGUCGCGGUGAAUACGUUCACGGGGUUUGUACACACCGC